GAGGGUGCAGCUCAGUGGUAGAGCGUGUGCUUAGCAUGCACGAGGUCCUGGGUUCAAUUCCCAGUACCUCG
This 71-nucleotide transfer RNA is filed under the name Camelus bactrianus (Bactrian camel). It matches the Rfam family "tRNA". Rfam says of the family: Transfer RNA (tRNA) molecules are approximately 80 nucleotides in length. Their secondary structure includes four short double-helical elements and three loops (D, anti-codon, and T loops). The record is from Rfam by way of RNAcentral. Lineage: Eukaryota; Metazoa; Chordata; Mammalia; Artiodactyla; Camelidae. RNAcentral also lists the same sequence under 2 other names.